RNAcentral lists this ribosomal RNA (1345 nucleotides) under uncultured bacterium. RNAcentral describes it as "bacterial SSU rRNA". It matches the Rfam family "Bacterial small subunit ribosomal RNA", at positions 28 to 1381 of the family's 1533-position model. The record is from RNAcentral.
GAUGAACGCUUUCGGCGUGCUUAACACAUGCAAGUCGAACGGAAAGGCUCCUGCUUGCAGGGGUACUCGAGUGGCGAACGGGUGAGCAACACGUGGGUGAUCUGCCCUGCACUUCGGGAUAAGCCUGGGAAACUGGGUCUAAUACCGGAUAGGACGAUGGUUUGGAUGCCAUUGUGGAAAGUUUUUUCGGUGUGGGAUGAGCUCGCGGCCUAUCAGCUUGUUGGUGGGGUAAUGGCCUACCAAGGCGUCGACGGGUAGCCGGCCUGAGAGGGUGUACGGCCACAUUGGGACUGAGAUACGGCCCAGACUCCUACGGGAGGCAGCAGUGGGGAAUAUUGCACAAUGGGCGCAAGCCUGAUGCAGCGACGCCGCGUGGGGGAUGACGGCCUUCGGGUUGUAAACUUCUUUCGCUAGGGACGAAGCGUUAUGUGACGGUACCUGGAGAAGAAGCACCGGCUAACUACGUGCCAGCAGCCGCGGUAAUACGUAGGGUGCGAGCGUUGUCCGGAAUUACUGGGCGUAAAGAGCUCGUAGGUGGUUUGUCGCGUCGUUUGUGUAAGCCCGCAGCUUAACUGCGGGACUGCAGGCGAUACGGGCAUAACUUGAGUGCUGUAGGGGAGACUGGAAUUCCUGGUGUAGCGGUGGAAUGCGCAGAUAUCAGGAGGAACACCGAUGGCGAAGGCAGGUCUCUGGGCAGUAACUGACGCUGAGGAGCGAAAGCAUGGGUAGCGAACAGGAUUAGAUACCCUGGUAGUCCAUGCCGUAAACGGUGGGCGCUAGGUGUGAGUCCCUUCCACGGGGUUCGUGCCGUAGCUAACGCAUUAAGCGCCCCGCCUGGGGAGUACGGCCGCAAGGCUAAAACUCAAAGGAAUUGACGGGGGCCCGCACAAGCGGCGGAGCAUGUGGAUUAAUUCGAUGCAACGCGAAGAACCUUACCUGGACUUGACAUACACCAGACCGGGCCAGAGAUGGUCUUUCCCUUUGUGGUUGGUGUACAGGUGGUGCAUGGUUGUCGUCAGCUCGUGUCGUGAGAUGUUGGGUUAAGUCCCGCAACGAGCGCAACCCUUGUCUUAUGUUGCCAGCACGUUAUGGUGGGGACUCGUGAGAGACUGCCGGGGUUAACUCGGAGGAAGGUGGGGAUGACGUCAAAUCAUCAUGCCCCUUAUGUCCAGGGCUUCACACAUGCUACAAUGGUCGGUACAACGCGUCUGCGAGCCUGUGAGGGUGAGCUAAUCGCUGUAAAGCCGGUCGUAGUUCGGAUUGGGGUCUGCAACUCGACCCCAUGAAGUCGGAGUCGCUAGUAAUCGCAGAUCAGCAACGCUGCGGUGAAUACGUUCCCGGGCCU